RNAcentral lists this long non-coding RNA (1607 nucleotides) under Helianthus annuus (common sunflower). RNAcentral's name for it is "hypothetical non coding rna". Lineage: Eukaryota; Viridiplantae; Streptophyta; Magnoliopsida; Asterales; Asteraceae. The record is from RNAcentral.
GUGCUUUCAUUGAUAAAUUAAUAAAAGAGUCGAACAAGUUUGUUCAUAUUGCGUGUUUGUUUAUUCGAUCAAGGGCCUGAUUUUCAACAAUUGGUAUCAGAGCGCGGUUUUGAGAGUCGUUUUCCGAUAAGGGGGUGCCUCCCCUCGCGGGGUUUCACUGGCAGCAAACCAGCGGAGUAGUUGAAGACGAAGCUGGAGAGAAAAAAUAGGAAUGAAAGCAGUUAGGUCGGCAAUUAGAGAUCACGGCAAAGUAACAAGUUUUGUUGAAUGAAAAGUUGUUUUAUUCAACAAGAUAAGGUUCAAGUUUGAGAUUGCUUGAAGAUGUUUAUUCAGAAGUGGCAUCCAUAAAGAAAAAGGUCGGUGAAAUUUGUUUCAUAUUGAUCAUAUUUGCGUGGAACCAAGAGAAUCAUCAUGGGCUCACAUGGAACCUUUAGUGGGCUGAUGAUCAUUAAGUUGUGGAAUGGUUUCAUUAAAAUUAAUUCAAGGAUGCUGUCAAGAUAGAGCAAAGUUUUCGUUGGUUGUUUUGAUAGCAAGGUGAACAAUAAAAGAAAAAUUUGGGCAGUGCCUUGGAGGAUAGUAACAGAAACAUAAGCGAGUUUAUGUAAGAUUCUCGCAAGAAAGAAGAAAGAAAGAAGCAGAUUCAGAUCAGCAAAGAAAGAAGAAAGAUAGUGCAACCUGCGUGAGAAAGAAGAAAGAAGAAAGAGAGGUGCCGUGAGAAAGAGAAAGAAGAAAGUUCGGUGCCGUAAGAAAGAAAGAAAAAAAACGCAGGUGCAACUCAGGAAGAAAGAGACCGAGAAAGAAGAAAUCGACAAAGAAAGAAAGAAAGGUCAGUCGAUUCAAAGAAGAAAGAAAGAAAGAUGGUGUUGCAAGAAAGUAAGAAAGUAGCAAGCCACAAGAAAGAAAGAACGGAAGUCGAUCAGAAAGAAGAAAGAUAAUCGAUAACCGAAAGAAAGAAAGAAGCGAACUUGUGUGGUUCGUAAAGAAGAACGAGAAAGACCGAACCGCAUGGUUCGAAUAGCAAGUUAGAAAGAAAGUUGAUUCGAAGCAAGCAAGCAAGAACGAAUUAGCAAGUAGCAAGAAGCGAGGUCAAGGGAUUGGAGUAGUCGAUAACGAUGCGGAUAUGAAGUGAGUCCAAUUCAAGAUUAAGGGGGAGAAUGAAGAAGUUAAUCUUGAAUUAGGAGAUAAAGAUAAAGACGGGCUAUAGAUAAUUAUACUGAAUUGUUUAUUGAGUCUUUAUAUGGAUAAUUGUUAGGUUUAUUAGAUAGGUUUAUCUAGUUUGUAGGCUUUGAAUUAUGGUAGGUUUAGGAUGUCAUGCAAGUAAAUUAAUUCUAGUAUGGGUAGGAUAGGAUGUUUUGUUUAUUUUAUUAAUAGAGUUUGAGUCGGGUUAGGACUAGAAUAAGUUUAGUAUAAAUAGAUGGUUAGGGUCAUUGUAAUUAGUGUGCUUUCAUUGAUAAAUUAAUAAAAGAGUCGAACAAGUUUGUUCAUAUUGCGUGUUUGUUUAUUCGAUCAAGGGCCUGAUUUUCAACAUCAUGUACCCAAAUUGGGUAUGCUUAUCUAUGUGGGAACAUUGCCGCCAUCUAUUUUGGGUACUCCAAAUCGUUGAGUAG